CUGAUUUCCAGUGGUGGAUAGAUGUCCUUAGGGCUCGAGUCUUGUCUAGCACCAUUUGAAAUCAGUG
Molecule: microRNA precursor, 67 nt
Filed under: Melibe leonina
Lineage: Eukaryota; Metazoa; Mollusca; Gastropoda; Nudibranchia; Dendronotidae
Description: microRNA mle-mir-29b precursor
Gene: mle-mir-29b
Source: miRBase by way of RNAcentral